Molecule: ribosomal RNA, 739 nt
Filed under: Microsporidium sp. BVIC3
Lineage: Eukaryota; Fungi; Microsporidia
Description: SSU rRNA
Rfam family: Microsporidia small subunit ribosomal RNA
Source: RNAcentral
GCUUCGGAGAUUAAGCCAUGCAUGUCAGCGAACCUGGAGGAGAAGCGACGAACGGCUCAGUAAUGCUGCGACGAUUUGCUCUGCACGGGAAGAUAACCGCGGGAAACAGCGGCUAAGACGCAGAAUAAGACGCAGCCCUAUCAGCUAGUUGGCAGUGUAAGGGACUACCAAGGCGACGACGGGUGACGGGAAAUGGGGGUUUUAUUCCGGAGAGGGAGCCUGAGAGAUGGCUCCCACGUCCAAGGACGGCAGCAGGCGCGAAAAUUGCCCACUCUUUGAGGAGGCAGUUAUGAGACGUAGAAUAGGGAAGCACUGUAAAGACGUGGAUCUGAUGCGAUUGGAGGGCAAGUUUGGUGCCAGCAGCCGCGGUAAUACCGACUCCAAGAGUUUCUAUGGUGGAUGCUGCAGUUAAAAAGUCCGUAGUUGUGAGUGCAAUGAAAGGGUGCGGAUCAAGCGUGCCUGGAUUGUUACUGGUGGCGGAACGGACAGGGGGCACAGUAUAGCUGGGCGAGAGAUGAAAUGCCACGACCCCAGCUGGACUAGCAGAGGCGAAGGCGGUGCUCUUGUACGAAUCUUGGGAUCAAGGACGAAGGCUGGAGGAUCGAAAGUGAUUAGAUACCGCUGUAGUUCCAGCAGUAAACGAUGCCGACUUGGGAUGCCCUUAGGGUGUGCCGGCGAGAAAUCGAAGUGUUCGGGCUCUGGGGAUAGUAUGCUCGCAAGGGUGAAAAUUAAAGAAAUU